This 190-nucleotide microRNA precursor is filed under the name Oryza nivara. Its description in RNAcentral is "MIR812 microRNA precursor family". It matches the Rfam family "MIR812 microRNA precursor family". Lineage: Eukaryota; Viridiplantae; Streptophyta; Magnoliopsida; Poales; Poaceae. The record is from Rfam by way of RNAcentral.
AAUAAACACAACCAUAAAUUUUUGUGUCAAACUUUAAUAGUUUAUCUUAUUUAAUUUUUUAUGAUUAGUAUUUUUAUUGUUAUUAGAUUAUAAAACAUAAAUUAUACUUUAUGUGUGACUUAUUUUUUUAGUUUUUUUUAAAAAAUAAAUAAAACGAACUAUUAAAGUUGGACACGGAAACUUAUGGUUG